AUAGCUCACUGGUCGAGUCGGCCUGCGCGGAAGAUGUAACGGGGCUAAACCAUGCACCGAAGCUGCGGCAGCGACGCUUAUGCGUUGUUGGGUAGGGGAGCGUUCUGUAAGCCUGUGAAGGUGUACUGUGAGGUAUGCUGGAGGUAUCAGAAGUGCGAAUGCUGACAUAAGUAACGAUAAAGCGGGUGAAAAGCCCGCUCGCCGGA
RNAcentral lists this ribosomal RNA (206 nucleotides) under Escherichia coli. RNAcentral describes it as "partial 23S ribosomal RNA". It matches the Rfam family "Bacterial large subunit ribosomal RNA", at positions 1137 to 1341 of the family's 2925-position model. The record is from RNAcentral. Lineage: Bacteria; Pseudomonadati; Pseudomonadota; Gammaproteobacteria; Enterobacterales; Enterobacteriaceae.